UAAUACGGAAGAUGCGAGCGUUAUCCGGAUUUAUUGGGUUUAAAGGGAGCGUAGGCGGACGCUUAAGUCUGCGGUAAAAUGGCCGUGCUCAACGCGGUCCCGCCGUGGAAACUGGGUGUCUUGAAUGUGCACAAGGAAGGUGGAAUUCGUGGUGUAGCGGUGAAAUGCUUAGAUAUCACGAAGAACUCCGAUUGCGAAGGCAUCCUUCUGGGGCAUGAUUGACGCUGAGGCUCGAAAGCGCGGGUAUCAAACAGGAUUAGAUACCCUGGUAGUCCGCGCCGUAAACGAUGAAUACCCGUCGUUGGCGAUACACGGUCAGCGACCAAGCGAAAGCAUUAAGUAUUCCACCUGGGGAGUACGCCGGCAACGGUGAAACUCAAAGGAAUUGACGGGGGCCCGCACAAGCGGAGGAACAUGUGGUUUAAUUCGAUGAUACGCGAAGAACCUUACCCGGGCUUGAACUGCACAGGACGGAAGAGAGAGAACUCUUCCUUCUUCGACUGUGUUGAAGUGCUGCAU
Molecule: ribosomal RNA, 519 nt
Filed under: uncultured bacterium
Lineage: Bacteria
Description: bacterial SSU rRNA
Rfam family: Bacterial small subunit ribosomal RNA
Source: RNAcentral